GAUGAACGCUGGCGGCGUGCCUAAUACAUGCAAGUCGAGCGAACGGACGAGAAGCUUGCUUCUCUGAUGUUAGCGGCGGACGGGUGAGUAACACGUGGAUAACCUACCUAUAAGACUGGGAUAACUUCGGGAAACCGGAGCUAAUACCGGAUAAUAUUUUGAACCGCAUGGUUCAAAAGUAAAAGACGGUCUUGCUGUCACUUAUAGAUGGAUCCGCGCUGCAUUAGCUAGUUGGUAAGGUAACGGCUUACCAAGGCAACGAUGCAUAGCCGACCUGAGAGGGUGAUCGGCCACACGGGAACUGAGACACGGUCCAGACUCCUACGGGAGGCAGCAGUAGGGAAUCUUCCGCAAUGGGCGAAAGCCUGACGGAGCAACGCCGCGUGAGUGAUGAAGGUCUUCGGAUCGUAAAACUCUGUUAUUAGGGAAGAACAUAUAUGUAAGUAACUGUGCACAUCUUGACGGUACCUAAUCAGAAAGCCACGGCUAACUACGUG
This 497-nucleotide ribosomal RNA is filed under the name uncultured bacterium. RNAcentral describes it as "partial 16S ribosomal RNA". It matches the Rfam family "Bacterial small subunit ribosomal RNA", at positions 28 to 507 of the family's 1533-position model. The record is from RNAcentral.